RNAcentral lists this transfer RNA (72 nucleotides) under Felis catus (domestic cat). It matches the Rfam family "tRNA". From Rfam's summary of the family: Transfer RNA (tRNA) molecules are approximately 80 nucleotides in length. Their secondary structure includes four short double-helical elements and three loops (D, anti-codon, and T loops). The record is from Rfam by way of RNAcentral. Lineage: Eukaryota; Metazoa; Chordata; Mammalia; Carnivora; Felidae.
GCCUGGGUGGCUCAGUCGGUUAAGCGUCCGACUUCGGCUCAGGUCAUGGGGGUUCGAGCCCUGCCUCAGGCU